Long non-coding RNA from Capsicum annuum, 265 nucleotides. RefSeq lists it as uncharacterized. The record is from RefSeq and is a predicted model, not a curated record. The transcript is spliced from 3 exons. Lineage: Eukaryota; Viridiplantae; Streptophyta; Magnoliopsida; Solanales; Solanaceae.
AUUUUAACUUAGACAAAAAUUUCAGCUUUUAGGUUUUUCUCUCUUGUUCUCUCUUGGCUAUGAAGUAACCCUAUAUUCCCACAAGGGUUCUUAGAAUUGACCUUCCUCCCAAUAUAAAGUGAUUAUGCUAUUGAAGAUAUACACAUUAAGAGGCUAAACUAACAAGGAAAUCAAGAUAAGUAAUAUAAAAGGCGGGAAGUCAAGCCGGGUUAGUUUCGGAGCUAUACAAGCAGGUAUGUAAGGCAUACUCCAUUUUGUACUCUUU